GAUGAACGCUGGCGGCGUGCUUAACACAUGCAAGUCGAACGGAAAGGCCCAAGCUUGCUUGGGUACUCGAGUGGCGAACGGGUGAGUAACACGUGGGUGAUCUGCCCUGCACUUCGGGAUAAGCCUGGGAAACUGGGUCUAAUACCGGAUAGGACCACUUCUUGGAUGUUGUGGUGGAAAGUUUUUUCGGUGUGGGAUGAGCUCGCGGCCUAUCAGCUUGUUGGUGGGGUAAUGGCCUACCAAGGCGUCGACGGGUAGCCGGCCUGAGAGGGUGUACGGCCACAUUGGGACUGAGAUACGGCCCAGACUCCUACGGGAGGCAGCAGUGGGGAAUAUUGCACAAUGGGCGCAAGCCUGAUGCAGAGACGCCGCGGGGGGGAUGACGGCCUUCGGGUUGUAAACUCCUUUCGCUAGGGACGAAGCGUUUUGUGACGGUACCUGGAGAAGAAGCACCGGCUAACUACGUG
This 467-nucleotide ribosomal RNA is filed under the name uncultured bacterium. RNAcentral describes it as "partial 16S ribosomal RNA". It matches the Rfam family "Bacterial small subunit ribosomal RNA", at positions 28 to 507 of the family's 1533-position model. The record is from RNAcentral.